GGAGCCCAAUAUUACGUCACAAGGCCCGCCCACUGCGUUUGCCUUCCGACGUUGUCACGUAGGCGUUUUGUGUGUUCCUUCAUCACAGGGAGAAGGGAAGGUGGUGAGGAAGAGCCAUGCAGCCAUCGUCCUAGAAAACCAAAAGAGUUGUUCCUAAAGUAAGGUUGCCCAUUAAGGGACGUGAGAAACGUGGUGUCGGCAGAGUCGCAGAUGUGUUUUUGCAAUUGAGCUGCUGCCAUCGCCAUGAGAGGGACAUUCCGAGCCAGCCUGCUCGUUCCCAGAGAGUGAAAGCAGAGUGAGCCCAGUUAAAUGGGUUCAGUGAAGCUGUCAACAGCGAGGCAGGCAAACAAUACACCACUGAAAGAGAAUUAGAACCACCUGCCUUGAGUCCCUUAGUUAAUGGCAUAACCCGGAUUCUGUAGCUGUACAAAAUCCUAUCUCUCCUGGUGAAAUGAUUGAUUACUCAAACUGCAACAAUGGCUUCUCUUGAGCCUUGAGCCUGCCCUUCAGACUGGAACCACACCGUCAGCUCCCCUGGGUUUCCAGAGUGCCAACUCACCCUGCAGAUCUUGUGACGUGUCAACUUCUGACUGAAUCAUGUUAGCUUUCUGAUGCCUCAUGGUCCCAAGAUGGUAGCCAGAAGACUAGUUUUCCAUAACAACUGAGCAAAUUUGCUGAGGACUACGCACACUGGACUGGCCUAGAGCAAAUCCUUUGUCUAAGAUAUACCCCUUGAAAUAAAAGCAUCUGAUUCAGAGAACCUGUAUAUAUUCCAUUGCUCAACAUUGAUCUCCUUGGCUUCGUGCAUCAAUUGACUUUGUGACCUACUGGGACCACCUGGAUCAUCCUGAAACUCUUGCUGGGACCAUCAACGGGUUACUCCAAACAAUGAGUUAUGCUGCAAAUGUUUAUUAAGGACCUACCAUGUGCCAGGCAUUCUUUUAGGGGUUGAAGAUAUAAUGGUGAAU
This is a long non-coding RNA of Suricata suricatta (meerkat), 968 nucleotides long. RefSeq lists it as uncharacterized. NCBI's taxonomy places the organism in Eukaryota, Metazoa, Chordata, Mammalia, Carnivora, Herpestidae. The record is from RefSeq and is a predicted model, not a curated record. The transcript has 10 exons.